AUACUUAGAAAUGUAUCUAUGAGGAGAAGUUAAACACAGUGGUCCUUGGUGUCCUCUAGGUUUUGUUUCCAGGGCACACAAACAAACACACCAUGGAUACCAAAAUCUGUCGAUGCACAAGCCCCAUUACUCAUAUAUACAAUGGGAUUGUAAAAUGAUUUUCCUUAUAUAACAUGAUGAAUAAUUCAAACCAGUGCUGGAGAGAGCCUGAGGAUCUUUGAAAUGGCAGGAGACUAGAGCAAAUUAUGUCUACACAUCAGCGUAAUGCUAGGCAUGCAGCAAAAUCAAGCUUUGCUUUUUGGGUAUGUUUAAACCAAUAUUUUUGAGCCAUGAUUGAAUUUGUGGAUAAGUAGGGUUGACAGUAUUAUAAAGUUGACAGUCUUUGAUAUGCAUCCACUAAUUUGCAUAGGAAAAGCAAAAGUCUCCAAUUCAAAAUCAGUUGGCAAAGGCUAAAAUGUUGCUCCAAUGAUCCUUGCUGGUGAUUCCCUCACCAAGAACCCAUUUCAUGGGUACAGGGUUUUUUUUCUCACUCCUAUGCUACCAUAAUCCAAUGAAAUCCUUCAUGUGCUGAUUUGUAUAGGAAUAAGAAAAAGUUUGCAGAUUCAAAUCAGUAGAGUGGGUGGAUAUGAAUGCCUAGCAACAGAGACAGAGAGGAAAAUAACACUGAGAUCAACAUCAUUCUUGCUGCAUCGACCUCGCUGUGACGACUUCACCCUUUGGACCCUGGACUGGAACUCGACUUGGCAUAUCUCUUCACUCUUAAACUCGGCUUGGCAUCAUUCCCGUGUUUGUGGCUGACUUCUAUUGCUGACCGCUGGCUUCAACUUCGACUCCGACGCUGUUCUCCAAUCCUGACUCCGGACCGGUUUAACUUCGCUACAACGUUUCAUUCCCCUGACAUCUGGCUUGGCUUUUGACUCCGCAGCGGCUCGUCGCAAUUGCCUCAGCGUUUUCCAACAUUGUUCGUCCGCACCGCUUUUGGCGAAGAACUUUAGCCUGGUUUGGGCUUUCUCUUUAGUUUUGGGCUUUUUGCUGUACUUUUGGGUUUUGGAGAGGUUUUGUGCCUUUGGGAAUUCUUGCCCAUGUUUGUUUUACUGUUUUGACUUUGCCUUGCAAUUUUGAGCUGUUUUCAAGCACUUUGGUUUUAAUCCGGAUUAUAUCCCCGGAUAAUCCGGAUUAUAUUCUGGUUAGCGUUUUUGAGGUUUCUUGCUCUGAACUGUUUAAUUACACUGAAGUUAAAGUGUUGUGAGCUCUCUGGACUUUGUGCUGAGCUUUUUUGAGUUAUUUUUGAAUAAACUAUAUUUAUCUUACUGGCUGGUGUCUGACCUUUGACAAACAUAAUCAUUGCUUAUUGUUGUCUUGAUGUAAGAGCUGGAUACACUGAUUGGAAUUAAGACACAGUUUUAUUCACAUAAAUCGUUACAUGGUAUAAUCUAUUUCAGUGAGUCUGUGAAUUAUGAAGCAUAUCCCCUCUGGAUAUGGGAGUUGCACUAUAUCAAAGUUUUGGUGCAACCGAAUAAAACCAUGGCUAGCAAUCUGUUGGGCGCUUGAUGCAUACAUAAUUUCCCCUCAUGCGUGAAAGUGUAUUUAUUUGUUUAUUUGCUUGUUGAGCAUGGAUAAAUAUCUACAUUUACUUUACAGUUACAUAAGUGUGGUUCUCCAAGUAUAACUCUUCACAUGCAGUUGCAUAAAUAGUUAAUUAAUUUUUAUCCCACUUUUCUCCCAGAACAGGACUCAAAGUGUUGUACAGCAUAUAAAACAAAGAGCAGUUACAUAACAUAAAAUACAGUCAUACACCACAGCAUGUAUAAAAUUAACAAAUUAUAACAAUUAUAACAGCUUAUUAGUAUUUUCUAUGUACAAUUUGUAAUUGUGGCAGUGCUAUGCAUUACUUAGAUUAGAUUGUCUUGGGUUCAUCCCACAGAAUUUGGGAAUUUGCUGUAAGGUUUUUGGAAUUCUCUGUUAGAGAGUUCUGGAGCAGUAGUUCGGUAGAAAGCACUAGAGUACUCUAGCAGAGAAUUCCAAGGCUACCUUACAAAUGUCAGGAAUCCUUUGGAUGGAGCCAUAGCAGUUAACAUAGUAUCAGACUACUCAAACAUAAUGCAGUUACACUCAUAGUUUUCCUAUGGAUUGUUCUGAACUAUGACAGUGGGAUAUUCUUCAAAUUUAUCAGGUCAGGUCAAUAAAGGUUUGUGUAUAUUUCGUGCCUUUGGGUGAGCGUUACACAAUGUGCAUUCUCUCAGAGAUACACCAACACAAAAUUUUGUUGAUGUAUGCAGCCAUCAUUUAUUUUCAAGAAAACUCUAGCAAGUCUCACUAAUUGGAAGCAAUCUUCACUGAGAACUGAUUAAAUGCUGCCAAGCUCAGUUAAACCCAGCAUGUUUAAAUGGACUAGGGUUACUCCCAUAGAGAAAAAGAUAAAAGUUUACUGGCCAUAAGUUAGGUCCUGGAACUCUAGAAAUAAGAAAUGCCCUGAUUUGUAGGCUUUAUUAUAUUGCAACCCAUGGAUUUUAAGACUGAGAAAUUAAUGAAAAAUGUUAUUGCUUGCUUAAAUGUUUGCAUCAAAAAUAUAUGUAUAUAUUGCUCUAAAGCUUUUAGAGAAACAAGAGAAAGACCAGGAGUAUCCUAACAAAGUCUGAGGAUAGGUCUGCACCUUUGUGCAAAUAUAUUUCACUGUAUUAUUAUUAUUAUUAUUAUUAUUAUUAUUAUUAUUAUUAUUAUUAUUAUUGUGUUGAUUGAAACUCUAUCUAUCGAUCUAUCUAUCCUUCAUUGAUGAAACUCAAGACAGUAUGCACUUGCAGGUGUUUUCCAUAAAUGUAUCAAUCAGACCUACCUCACUUCAGAAAGAUAACUUUUCCACAUAUCUUCUAAUAAUAACUUCUGAGAGGGAAGAGGUGGCUGAUAAAAGUGUGAAUAAGUUCAAUCUGAGGUACUAUGUGGUUUGAAAGUAUUCAUUUUUAGUAUUCAAUGUCUGAUGUCCAAUUCAUAAAUGCAAACCCUAUGUAAUCUUGUAAUCCUUAUGCAUGCAUAAAUCUAAGACUUUAUCAUAAGAAGUGGGUAAACCAGUUUUGAUGACCAACCUGUGAAAUAAUGAGACCAGACAGAAAUUGGGUUGUAAAAUGUUGCCACUUUAUUAGCUGGAUCUAAUAAAGUUAAAUUUUUUGCUUCUUAAGAGAUGCUAUAAAGUGGGUGGGUGACCUGGUGUGGGAAAAGCUGAGACAAGAGGUCUCUUCCUAUCCCCUACACAACUUUCCUUGGGUAAAAAACAUCUAAACGGAAAUGAACCCAAAAGUUGGGUUGUUCCUUUAGCCAGCCUGCAUCUGGAAGGCUUACUCAAAAUUUUCCUUUUUCCCAAAUCCUACAACAUUUCCUUUACAUAGUAACAUCAUAUACUGCCUUUCAUGUUCUCAUUUUCAGUGCUAGCUAUUUGAAAACAGAUUACAAAAUGUCAAUUUUAGAACUCAAAAGAGCAACUAUGAAAUAAGAUCCACUGUCAUCUCAUAAAGAUCAAAUUAUUGGAUGUCAAAUGCUGAAGUUGUUAAAUAUCUCAUGUCAGAUGUAUUUUAGACAUUUGAUUUCAAAGUCCAUGAAGUCCAUGAUAUAAUAUCCCAGUUCCUCCUGGGAUUUAGGCCCCUUCUACACUACCAUAUAAUCCAAUUCAAAGCAGAUAAUCUUGAUUUUAUAUGAUAGUGUAGAAAGGGCCACAGUCAUGAAGCUACAGUAUAUCCAAACAUUUCCCAGUCUAAAGGUGUUGGAAACUAUUUUGGAUUCCUGCCAAAAUUGUCAGCGCCCUUCAUUUGGCUUAUCUCUCAUUCAAUUCUUUGUUCACUUUUUAAUGGCCCUUCUGCCUGCAGAUUUGGAGUUAGCAUGAGAGGACUCUGCUGGCUGAAAAUACUGAUGUCUAAUCCUAACUCUGUUCAACCAGUAGAGCUCCCAAAUGUAGUCCUAUAGUCACUUACUUGGGAGUAAAUUGCAUUGAACUCUACUAGGCUUACUUCUGAGCAGACAGGUAUCCGAUUUAAAUGCAAAUUGCUAUUGUGCCAGCUGCUGGCCAUUUCAAAGUUUAUGCAGCUUUUAUUCUGUUUGGCUAUAAUGUUUGCAUAAUGGAGAAGCCUGAAUACCAGUCUGUCAACAAAUAUCAGUCUGGUGUUUGGGGAUAGAACAAGACACAUAUUUGGUUAGGGUCUCUUUUUCUCUGUUCUCUGUUCUCUUUUAAACAGAUGUAAAGAGCUUCCCUAGAGUGAUACUAUUGAACUUCAGCCCUUUGUCUUUCACUGUAAUACAUUGUAAUGUCUUAAAGAUUGAGACCCUGGAACAAAUGUUAGUUUGCAUGUUUGGAUCAUGUUGUUAGUCCAGUUCAGCCAUUUUGAAGCCUAUAAGACAUAAUAAUACCUUCACAAAUGCCUCUGUUGAGUAUUGUGACAAUAUAAGUAAACUCUGUACUUACAUUCUGGAACUCCCUCCCUAGGGAGGUUAGGUUGGCUCCCUCUCUAUCCUCCUUUAAGAAACAACUGAAAACUUGGAUUUUCAGCUUGGCCUUUGGUGAGACAGUCACUGGAUCACCAGCCUCAUUAUAAUUCUAUUCUGAAUUUUAUUAGGUCCCUCUUAUUUGGGUAUUUUAAUCUGAUGAUGCUAUCUCUAUAUUGCUGCUGCAGUUCCUCCACCUAUGAAGUUUGAUAUUAUUAUUGUUGUAUUAACUCUUGUGUUAUUCCCUUAUUGUGUUUUCACUUGUGUAUAUUGUGCAAAUGUAUUUAUCUUGUUACUUCUGUGAACUAUGUUGACUGGGCUUUGCCCCAUGUGAGCCGCCUUGAGUCCCCGUGGGGAGAUGGUGGCGGGGUAUAAAUAAAGUUUUUUUAUUAUUA
Long non-coding RNA from Anolis carolinensis (green anole), 4862 nucleotides. RefSeq lists it as uncharacterized. NCBI's taxonomy places the organism in Eukaryota, Metazoa, Chordata, Lepidosauria, Squamata, Anolidae. The transcript has 2 exons. The record is from RefSeq and is a predicted model, not a curated record.